GGCGAUCAGAUACCGCCCUAGUUCUGACCGUAAACGAUGCCAACUAGCGAUCCGCCAGUCGACUCAUCGCUCUGGUGGGGAGCUUCCCGGGAACGAAAGUCUUCCGGUUCCGGGGGAAGUAUGGUUGCAAAGCUGAAACUUAAAGGAAUUGACGGAAGGGCACCACCAGGAGUGGAGCCUGCGGCUUAAUUUGACUCAACACGGGGAAACUCACCCGGCCCGGACACCGUAAGGAUUGACAGAUUGAUAGCUUUUUCAUGAUUCGGUGGAUGGUGGUGCAUGGCCGUUCUUAGUUCGUGGAGCGAUUUGUCUGGUUUAUUCCGAUAACGAGCGAGACUCUGGCCUACUAAAUAGUUGACGCAUUGCCACUGUGCGCACAACUUCUUAGAGGGAUUUUCGGUGUUUUCAACCGCACGAAAUUGAGCAAUAACAGGUCUGUGAUGCCCUUAGAUGUCCGGGGCUGCACGCGCGCUACACUGGCAAACGCAACGUGCCUGUCCUGCCCCGAAAGGAGCGGGUAAACCCCUGAAAUUUUGCCGUGAUUGGGAUCGGACAUUGCAACUAUUGUCCGUGAACGAGGAAUUCCUUGUAGGGGCGAGUCAUCAACUCGUCCCGAAUACGUCCCUGCCCUUUGUA
This 636-nucleotide ribosomal RNA is filed under the name Rotylenchulus reniformis. RNAcentral describes it as "SSU rRNA". It matches the Rfam family "Eukaryotic small subunit ribosomal RNA", at positions 1003 to 1664 of the family's 1831-position model. The record is from RNAcentral. Lineage: Eukaryota; Metazoa; Nematoda; Chromadorea; Rhabditida; Hoplolaimidae.